This 250-nucleotide ribosomal RNA is filed under the name uncultured Chroococcidiopsis sp. RNAcentral describes it as "partial 16S ribosomal RNA". It matches the Rfam family "Bacterial small subunit ribosomal RNA", at positions 796 to 1044 of the family's 1533-position model. The record is from RNAcentral. Lineage: Bacteria; Bacillati; Cyanobacteriota; Cyanophyceae; Chroococcidiopsidales; Chroococcidiopsidaceae.
CUAGCCGUAAACGAUGGAUACUAGGCGUUGUGAGUAUCGACCCUCACAGUGUCGUAGCUAACGCGUUAAGUAUCCCGCCUGGGGAGUACGCGCGCAAGCGUGAAACUCAAAGGAAUUGACGGGGGCCCGCACAAGCGGUGGAGUAUGUGGUUUAAUUCGAUGCAACGCGAAUAACCUUACCAGGACUUGACAUGUCGCGAAUCUCAGGGAAACUUGAGAGUGCCUUCGGGAGCGCGAACACAGGUGGUGC